CGUAGGUGGUUAGGUAAGCGAGAUGUGAAAGCCCCGGGCUUAACCUGGGAACGGCAUUUCGAACUGUCUGACUAGAGUAUGGUAGAGGGUAGUGGAAUUUCCUGUGUAGCGGUGAAAUGCGUAGAUAUAGGAAGGAACACCAGUGGCGAAGGCGGCUACCUGGACCAAUACUGACACUGAGGUGCGAAAGCGUGGGGAGCAAACA
RNAcentral lists this ribosomal RNA (205 nucleotides) under uncultured bacterium. Its description in RNAcentral is "partial 16S ribosomal RNA". It matches the Rfam family "Bacterial small subunit ribosomal RNA", at positions 570 to 774 of the family's 1533-position model. The record is from RNAcentral.